Molecule: small RNA, 27 nt
Filed under: Bombyx mori (domestic silkworm)
Lineage: Eukaryota; Metazoa; Arthropoda; Insecta; Lepidoptera; Bombycidae
Description: ovarian small RNA-7136
Source: RNAcentral
UCCAACUGUGCCAAAGAAUGUGUGUUU